Clostridium sp. 7_2_43FAA is the source of this 98-nucleotide regulatory RNA element. It matches the Rfam family "SAM riboswitch aptamer (S box leader)". From Rfam's summary of the family: The SAM riboswitch is found upstream of a number of genes which code for proteins involved in methionine or cysteine biosynthesis in Gram-positive bacteria. The SAM riboswitch acts at the level of transcription termination control. Lineage: Bacteria; Bacillati; Bacillota; Clostridia; Eubacteriales; Clostridiaceae. The record is from Rfam.
AUCUUAUUAAGAGUGGUGGAGGGACUGGCCCUUUGAAACCCAGCAACCUGCUUUCUAGUGUGGUGCUAAAUCCUACAGAUUUUUCUGAAAAAUAAGAG